Molecule: transfer RNA, 69 nt
Filed under: Leucosyrinx sp. MNHN IM 2013-19304
Lineage: Eukaryota; Metazoa; Mollusca; Gastropoda; Neogastropoda; Turridae
Description: tRNA-Pro
Source: RNAcentral
CGAAAUUGUAGUUUAAUUAAAAUAUUAGCAUUGGAAGUUAAAGAAUAGGUCUAUAUUCCUACAUUUCGA